Molecule: small RNA, 27 nt
Filed under: Bombyx mori (domestic silkworm)
Lineage: Eukaryota; Metazoa; Arthropoda; Insecta; Lepidoptera; Bombycidae
Description: ovarian small RNA-32709
Source: RNAcentral
UGAUCGGUAUUAAUGCGUACGGGGCAA